Molecule: ribosomal RNA, 1467 nt
Filed under: Triticum aestivum (bread wheat)
Lineage: Eukaryota; Viridiplantae; Streptophyta; Magnoliopsida; Poales; Poaceae
Description: partial small subunit ribosomal RNA
Source: RNAcentral
AUGGCGACGCCCGCCCUGCCAAACCCUAGCCCGCUCCUCGACGACCCGCUGCCGCCCGAGCCCAAGCCGCGCCGGGAGCCCAAGGUGCGGGACCCGGACGCGCGGGAGCCGCCGGCGGCCGCGCAGGAUCCGGAGGAAGACGCGCCCGAGGAGCCCGAGCCCGAGCAGGACGAGGGCCCGGAGCCGCCGCCCCUCCCCACCGACGCGAUCGAGCCCACCCCGUCCGGCGCGGAGGUGGAGGACGGGGACGACACCUCGUCCGUCUCCUCCGUCUCGUCCGCCGCCGCUGCCACCGAUGCCGCCGCCGCAACGGGGGGCAAGACGGAGAGGCCCUUCCCGGCGGCGACCGACCUGCUCCACAUCUCCUACAACCAGGACUACGGCUGCUUCGCCGCGGGGACCAAGACGGGCUUCCGCAUCUACAACUGCGACCCCUUCCGCGAGAUCUUCCGCCGCGACCUCGGCCCCUCCCCCACCGCCGUUCCUGGGGAAGAGGCCGCCCAGGCCCUCCACCAGCCCGCCGUCGCGGGCGGCGGCGGUGGCGGCAUCGGGGUCGUCGAGAUGCUCUUCCGCUGCAACAUACUGGCGCUCGUCGGGGGCGGGGACGCGCCACACUACCCGCCCAACAAGGUCAUGAUCUGGGACGACCACCAGAGCCGCUGCAUCGGGGAGCUCUCCUUCAAGUCCCCCGUGCGCGGCGUCCGCCUCCGCCGCGACCGCAUCGUCGUCGUCCUCGAGAACAAGAUCUUCGUCUACAACUUUGCCGACCUCAAGCUGGUGCAGCAGAUUGAGACCGCGCCCAACCCUAAGGGCCUGUGCUCUGUGUCGCAGCAGCCUGGCUCCAUUGUGCUGGUCUGCCCCGGUGCGCAGAAGGGCCAGAUCAGGGUCGAGCACUAUGGUGCUAGGAAGACCAAGUUUAUCAAUGCGCAUGCCUCCCGUGUCGCGUGCUUCGCGUUGUCACAGGAUGGCAGGCUCAUUGCCACCGCGAGCACCAAGGGGACGCUUGUGAGGAUCUUCAAUGCCGCUGAGGGCAACCUUCUCCAGGAAGUAAGGAGAGGUGCUGACAGAGCAGAGAUAUAUAGCUUGGCUUUCUCAAAUAAUUUACAGUAUUUGGCUGUAUCUAGUGAUAAAGGAACAAUUCAUGUGUUCAAUUUAAAGAUAAAUGUUGGUUUGACCACAAAUGAUAAGCCUCUGCCAGCUCCAGACGCUGAUGUUCCCCAUAUGAGUCCAUCAUUUUCUUUUAUUAAAGGUGUGCUACCUAAAUAUUUCCACUCGGAGUGGUCUGUUGCUCAAUUCAGGCUCCAUGAGGGCGAGCAGUACAUCGUUGCAUUUGGUCAUGAGAAGAAUACCGUGGCAGUUGUUGGCAUGGAUGGAAGCUUCUACCGGUGCCAGUUCGACCCGGUCAAUGGAGGAGAAAUGCAGCAGCUGGAGUGCCACAAUUUCCUAAAACCAUCAGAUCAGCCGUAG